This 1060-nucleotide ribosomal RNA is filed under the name uncultured Bacteroidales bacterium. RNAcentral's name for it is "bacterial SSU rRNA". It matches the Rfam family "Bacterial small subunit ribosomal RNA", at positions 32 to 1087 of the family's 1533-position model. Lineage: Bacteria; Pseudomonadati; Bacteroidota; Bacteroidia; Bacteroidales. The record is from RNAcentral.
AACGCUAGCUACAGGCUUAACACAUGCAAGUCGAGGGGCAGCAGGGAUUUAGCUUGCUAAGUCCGCUGGCGACCGGCGCACGGGUGCGUAACGCGUAUCCAACCUUCCCGUUACUCUUGGAUAGCCCUCCGAAAGGGGGAUUAAUACAGGAUGAUAUCUGAAUUUCGCAUGUUAAUCGGAUUAAAGAUUUAUCGGUAACGGAUGGGGAUGCGUACCAUUAGCUUGUUGGCGGGGUAACGGCCCACCAAGGCUUCGAUGGUUAGGGGUUCUGAGAGGAAGGUCCCCCACACUGGAACUGAGACACGGUCCAGACUCCUACGGGAGGCAGCAGUGAGGAAUAUUGGUCAAUGGCCGGAAGGCUGAACCAGCCAAGUAGCGUGAAGGAUGAAGGUUCUAUGGAUUGUAAACUUCUUUUAUGAGGGAAUAAAGCCCGCUACGUGUAGCGGUUUGUAUGUACCUUAUGAAUAAGCAUCGGCUAACUCCGUGCCAGCAGCCGCGGUAAUACGGAGGAUGCGAGCGUUAUCCGGAUUUAUUGGGUUUAAAGGGAGCGUAGACGGGAUGUUAAGUCAGCUGUGAAAGUUUGAGGCCCAACCUUAAAAUUGCAGUUGAUACUGGCGUCCUUGAGUGCGGUUGAGGUGUAUGGAAUUCGUGGUGUAGCGGUGAAAUGCUUAGAUAUCACGAAGAACUCCGAUUGCGAAGGCAGUACACUAAGCCGCUACUGACGUUGAGGCUCGAAAGUGUGGGUAUCAAACAGGAUUAGAUACCCUGGUAGUCCACACGGUAAACGAUGAACACUCGCUGUUGGCGAUAUAGUGUCAGCGGCCAAGCGAAAGCAUUAAGUGUUCCACCUGGGGAGUACGCCGGCAACGGUGAAACUCAAAGGAAUUGACGGGGGCCCGCACAAGCGGAGGAACAUGUGGUUUAAUUCGAUGAUACGCGAGGAACCUUACCCGGGCUUAAAUUGCAGAGGACAGGCUGAGAGAUCAGCUCUUCUUCGGACUUCUGUGAAGGUGCUGCAUGGUUGUCGUCAGCUCGUGCCGUGAGGUGUCGGCUUAAGUGC